Molecule: ribosomal RNA, 167 nt
Filed under: uncultured rumen bacterium
Lineage: Bacteria
Description: partial 16S ribosomal RNA
Rfam family: Bacterial small subunit ribosomal RNA
Source: RNAcentral
UACGGGAGGCAGCAGUGGGGAAUAUUGCACAAUGGGGGAAACCCUGAUGCAGCGACGCCGCGUGAGUGAAGAAGUAUUUCGGUAUGUAAAGCUCUAUCAGCAGGGAAGAUAAUGACGGUACCUGACUAAGAAGCCCCGGCUAAAUACGUGCCAGCAGCCGCGGUAAU